AAAAAAUUCCCAUUUGAAAAAAACAAAGUUGUAGUGCAUGCUGCAUGAGAUGUGCAGAAAAAAUUUUAAUAAUAGAUUUUAAUUUGGAAGGAAAAAGUAACAGGAUAUGCUUUACAAUUUUUCAUUUAUGAUAGUUUUCGUGAAAAUUCCUAAGCCACAGAAACCUGUGUUUCAAAUUAUGCAUUUCUUAAUGAUUUCUUUAUUGCUAGGUAUUUCUGAAAUAUCACUCAUAGGAAAAUAAUUCUACCAUGGAAAUUGCAAAAAUAUUAGCAGAAUCAGAUUUUUCAAAAAUAUAUUUCCAUUUAAAAAAGCAAAGUUGUAGCUUGUACUAUACAAGAAGAUGCACAAAAAAAAUAACAACAGAUUUUAAUUUAACAGGAUAUGUGUUUUACAAUUUUUUCAUAUGUCCAAUAGUUUUCAUAAAAAAUAACUGGUCCAUUGAAAUGAGAAAUAACUGGUCCAUAGAAAUUACCCUGUAUAUUACAAAGUAUAUUCAAAUGUAAAUUGUAAUUGUGAAUCACAGAAAAAUGUCAUAAUUUUUCAAUGUAGUCACUCCUUUUGAAAUGCAUAGAUCACCUGUCUGGUAGUUUAUGUAUUCCAAUGAAAAAAUUCUUUUGGCUGGAGCCACUCUCAAACAGGUUUGAUGACUUCUUCAUUAUUGUAUAUGAAGUUUUUCCCUCCUGAAAACUCCUUUAAAAGUCCAAAGAAAUGAAAGUCUGAUGGGGCAAGAUUUGGAUUAUAUGGUGAAUACUCAUCCUCAUUAUCAUAUCUGUCCAACAAUGCUUGGCAUAUCUGGCAUAUUCUUGUCUAUUUAUGUUGGUUAAUUAGGAACCAAGGAAUCCAAUGAGCACACACUUUCCAAUAUUACAGUUUAUCUAUCCUUCAUGAUAUUAUCCACACUAUCAAUGCUGAUAUUCAGAAUUGAGACAAUAUCUUUCACGAAUAACUCAUCAGUUUGCUCAACCAUCUCUGUCAUUGUCUUUGUUCUCAGGCAUCAUGAAUGAGGUUUAUUUUUGACAUGUUUAUAAUCUUCUUAGAAAGUCUUACAACCAUUUAUAAAUGAUUACAUCAGACAAUGUGGCUUCACAAAACUGUAUUUUCAAUCUUUUACAAAUUUAAAAUGGUUUCACUCUUUCUGUGAUAAAAAAUUUGAUGAUGAUACAUUGUUCCAUGCUUGGAUGAAUUCACUUAUUACUAUUACUUCCAGUGAAAUAUAAGUUAACUGUUAAAUGAGAGAUUCAAGGUUGGAGAGAGACCAAAACCUUACAUAAUUGCUUUGGUUACUGUGCAUACACAACUAUUUGGGCAGACAAUCCAAAUUAUAAUUUAAAUUUGAAUUAAUUUCUACAUUUUCGCUAUUGCUCUAUGAGGAAUCAUACAUCUAUUCUCAAAGAUUGUAUGAUUCCUAAUAGGGCUUAUGCUCAUUUAGAAAUCAUACAGUCCUUGAGAAUUUCAAUCUAUGCUCAUUCAUGCUAAGAUAUAUCCUUGAGAACAGACGAGGGUAUAAAUAAAACUGAAUUACAAAAACUACUAUAGAGUUUUAAAGAAAUGAAUCAUCAGAACAAAUUCGAUAUUAAUCAACUC
Molecule: long non-coding RNA, 1584 nt
Filed under: Androctonus crassicauda
Lineage: Eukaryota; Metazoa; Arthropoda; Arachnida; Scorpiones; Buthidae
Source: RNAcentral